This 78-nucleotide transfer RNA is filed under the name Tanakia lanceolata. RNAcentral's name for it is "tRNA-Lys". It matches the Rfam family "tRNA". Rfam says of the family: Transfer RNA (tRNA) molecules are approximately 80 nucleotides in length. Their secondary structure includes four short double-helical elements and three loops (D, anti-codon, and T loops). Further hydrogen bonds mediate the characteristic L-shaped molecular structure. tRNAs have two regions of fundamental functional importance: the anti-codon, which is responsible for specific mRNA codon recognition, and the 3' end, to which the tRNAs corresponding amino acid is attached (by aminoacyl-tRNA synthetases). tRNAs cope with the degeneracy of the genetic code in two manners: having more than one tRNA (with a specific anti-codon) for a particular amino acid; and 'wobble' base-pairing, i.e. permitting non-standard base-pairing at the 3rd anti-codon position. Lineage: Eukaryota; Metazoa; Chordata; Actinopteri; Cypriniformes; Acheilognathidae. The record is from RNAcentral.
UCACUAGAAAGCUAAUUAUUGGAUAAAGCAUUGGCCUUUUAAGCCAAAGUUUGGUGCCUGCCGACCACCUCUAGUGAA